Molecule: long non-coding RNA, 3665 nt
Filed under: Sus scrofa (pig)
Lineage: Eukaryota; Metazoa; Chordata; Mammalia; Artiodactyla; Suidae
Description: lncRNA (ENSSSCG00000054216.1)
Source: RNAcentral
GCCUCCUCGGGGCGCCUGCGCGGUCCGGGCUGCCUGCGCAGUCAGGCCGGCUGCGUCUCUGAUCCCGCAGAGGUUCGCAGGUGGUUUGAGGCGCCACACUGUGCAGAGCGCUGCGAGUAGACCUGCAGCCGGGCGGACGCGGGAGGGAGGGCUUCAGGACUCUGCGCCGGGCCGCUUUUCCCAGGAGGACUUGGCGCAGCGGCUCCUAAGGCCGCGGAGGGCGCGAGAGAGCCCGAAGGGCGUGGAGCGUGCGCAGAUGCGACCCUGACCGCGACUCCUGCUCGGAUCCCCGACUCAGACCAGGACUUCGACCCCAACUCCCGCCUGGAUCCCCGACCCUAACUCCGACUCCCCCCCCGGGACCAGGACUCUGACCCCGACUCCGAUCCGCAGACCCAGUCAGGUCUUGGCGCGGGGAGGGUGCUGCCCAGGGGAGGGCUUUGCUGGUGCAGCCUCUGGCCCCUGGGCGGUGCCUGGAAGGUCCUGCGCGCUAGAGGACGAGGAAGGGGCCUCGGGUAAGAGCAGGGUCUUCAGAAGAGGGUAGCAGACGGCUGGCAUUCUUGUCCUUCAAGAUGCUUAAUUUCGGAGAGGUUACAACCUUCUCCUGGAGGCAGGCGGACUCACUCUGGAAGUCGUGCCCAUCUCUUGUGUCCAGGAUCACAGCCCAAGAGAAGUAGGCCACUCUCGUCCCUGGGGAAAGGGCAGGGGUCUGAGGCAUCCUGCCCUUGGGAUUCCGUACCCUAUGGUCCCUCUUUCGCGGCCCACCUGAGGUCUGGUGCUUGAAUGCUUAGCUCUGAGACUGCUGGUUGUGUUACAGGGUCACUUCAGCUUGUUUCUCUGUUUUUCUGUAUUCCCCAGAUUCCUGGUCGCUCAAGGAGAGCCAGUUCUCCUAACUGCUACCUAGUGCCUGGCGCCAUGUCAAACAUUCAUUUACUCUUCACAGGUGUGCAGACUCCUUUUAUGUCUGUUUUACAGAGAGGGAAACAGAUUUAGAGCAAUUUAAAGUAAGCUCCCGAGGUUACAGCUAAGGAGUCAUGAGCAGAAUUUCAGAGCUCGUUUGACUGUUUGCAGGGCCUGUGCUCUCCGACCUAUGGAUUCAGGUGUGACAGGAGUGACAGGUAUGACACACGUCAGCCAUCCUUCCCCCACAGUCGUGAAGCUAGAAAGGUUUGGGGACUUUUUAAGUGAAGUGUCCCGAGCAUUGGCCCUUGGCUGCAGGCCUGGCUGGUUGUGGGGAGUGGCUGCCCCCGACCUGCACAGGGGCCCCCCUUCCUUUCUCACGUUCUCUCUUCACAGCCCAGUUUCCUCCUUCAGCGUUUUUCUUCCCUGGGUAAAUUGUCCCACCCACGUUCUGCCCUCCGCAGACCAGUCCCGUGACUAUGACCAGGCUUCCGACAGUGGUUUCUUGCACGCUCGCACCCUAUCAAAGCUUGUGCAACUCCUCCAGACAGGAAGUAACCAAGCCCCACACUCACCCAUUCUCUCCAGGCAGCACAGCAGAUCUGUGACUCAGAGCCUUCCGUGUUUGGGGAGAACACAAGAUGCAACCCUAUUAACGUUGUUUAAAAGUGUUGGAAGCUAACCUCUUUGCAAGAGUUAGUUGGAAGCUGUGCAGGAAGAUGGCAGGAGCCGGGCUUUGGAGAAAGAGUGCUGGCUUAUGUCCUUCCAAGUCUGUGACCUUGAGCAAGGGAUUACCUUCUCCAAACUUCACUUUUCUCAUCAGCAAAACAGGGAUAAAAUUAUCGUCAAAAGGAGGCUGAGAGUGUGUCCCACGGAGCUGUCAUAAAGGUAAAAUGCAAUAAAAGCAUGUGAAAGCAGGACUUCGUGAGUAGCCUGGUGACUAAGGAUCCAGCAUUUUCACUGCUGUGGCCCUUGUUCGAUCCCUGGCCCAGGAACUUCUGCAUGCCACAGGCACAGACAAAAAAAGCAUGUACGUGAAAGCAGCUUGUCCACAUCCAGGACGCUGUGGGAAGCGAGGUUCUGGGAAACAUCCAUUCAUUUAUCCAAGAGCAUUUACUUAACUGCUUUGAGGGCUGGCUGUGUCCCCCGCCUCAAGCGAGUGGUUGGCCUUGACUCUGAAACCUACUCUGCUUCAGUCCACGUCUGCAGGGGCCUCGGGAUGGGGGGUUUGGCUAGAGGAUUCAGGCGCCCUGUGGCCUGGACCUGGAAGAGAAGGGCCUGGGAGAGUGGCGUCUGCACUCCUGUCACCUGCUCCCUUUACUUUUUCUUUUUAGGGCCACACCCAUGGCAUAUGGAGGUUCCCAGGCUAGGGAUCAAAUCUGAGCUGCAGCUGCCAGCCUACACCGCAGCAACAGCAGCGCCAGAUCUGAGCCGCAUUUGCGACCUACAGCACAGCUCAUGGCAAUGCCAGAUCCUUAAUCCGCUGAGCGAGGCCCAGGAUCGAACCCACAUCCUCAGUGAUACUAGUGGGGUUCAUUUUGGCUGCGCCACGACGGGAACUCCUGCCUUACUUUUCUGUACCUCGUGACUUGUGUUUACUUGCUUGGGCUUCUCAGCCCUCUGAGCUCUACCCGGGGCCUCUGGCUCAGCUUCCUCCAAGUCCACCAGGCAUGCUCACAUGAACUGCCUCGCCUCCAGGCCUGACCUAGGCCUCUGCCUGGCUUCCUGAUACCACGGUGCAAAGCCUGGCCUCAGGAAGUGGAGGGGCCGCAGGGAGGGAAGAGGAUCGGGGGCCCCCCAUGCUCUUGCGGUCCCUCCAGCUCCACGCUUGAUCCUUGGUGUGGAGGAGUCCUGGCUCCUCUCCCCGCCGAGGGGCUGCAUGCAGGGCCUCAGUCAGGCUGCUCAGGGGACGUACACCCAUCGCCCUGUCUGUGAAAAUAGGAACAGUGCUUUAGCAGUAUGGGGACAGAAGUGAUCUUUGGGGUCAUAUUUGGUUUUAAGAGCUAUUGUAGUUCCCUCUUGCUCUUGCUGGUUAAGGAUCCGGCCUUGUGACUACCGUGGCUCGGGUUGGAUUCCUGGCCCCAGAACUUCCACAUGCCACUGCCAUAGCCAAGAAAGAAAAGAAAAGAAAAAAAGAUCUAGGCUUCAUUAUUAAUAUCAGAGCAAAUAACUAUUUCCCUUCCAAAUUAGGCAGCUUGGCAGCAACUAAAGGGCUAAACUUUCUAUUUAAGUAUUUAUUUAUUUUUUGCUGCCUCGAGGCAUAUGGAGUUCCCGGGCCAGGGAUCAGCUCCAAGCUGCAGUAGCACUUGCAGCCACGCCAGCUCAUUAGCCCAUGCUCCUGGUACCCUCGUGCCCCAGCAGGAAUUCCUAAACCUUUUUAGAGCCACACCAGCAGCAUACGGAGGUUCCCAGGCUGGGGACUGAAUCGGAGCUACAGCUGCCAGCCUGCACCACAGCCACACCCAUGCCAAGACCUGAGCCACGUCUGUGGCCUACACCACAGCUGUGGUCGAACCUGCAUCCUCAUGAUACUAGUCAGAUUCUUAACCUGCUGAGCCCCAAUGGGAACUCCCUCCUAAACUUUUUUUUUAAACACGGUGGCUCUGCAUCUGGCCUGGCCUUGGGGGUAAUGGCCGUACCUGUGACCUUCUGUCUGCCGCCUUGAAUGACCUGGACUGCACCUGGAGAUCUGGCUGAUAUCAGGAUGUUGUCUGUAAAAUACACCCUGUGGGACGUUUGAAUAAAGUCAUCGUGUGAAUGUUGGU